Molecule: ribosomal RNA, 384 nt
Filed under: uncultured eukaryote
Lineage: Eukaryota
Description: SSU rRNA
Rfam family: Eukaryotic small subunit ribosomal RNA
Source: RNAcentral
AGCUCCAAUAGCGUAUAUUAAAGUUGUUGCAGUUAAAAAGCUCGUAGUUGGAUUUCUGGUAGGAGUGACCGUUCCGAACUUGAUUGUUCGUGUAUUGUGUUUUCUCCAGCCAUCCUUGUGGAGAACUUUUCUUGCAUUAAUUUGUAGGGAUUGGGACCCGCAUCGUUUACUGUGAAAAAAUUAGAGUGUUUAAAGCAGGCAAUCGCUUGAAUACAUUAGCAUGGAAUAAUAAGAUAGGACUUUGGUACUAUUUUGUUGGUUUGCAUACCAAAUUAAUGAUCAACAGGAACAGUUUGAGGAUAUUCGUAUGAACAUGUCAGAGGUGAAAUUCUUGGAUUUUGAUCAGACGAACUACUGCGAAAGCAUUUAUCAAGGAUGUUUUCA